RNAcentral lists this ribosomal RNA (432 nucleotides) under uncultured bacterium. RNAcentral's name for it is "bacterial SSU rRNA". It matches the Rfam family "Bacterial small subunit ribosomal RNA", at positions 355 to 786 of the family's 1533-position model. The record is from RNAcentral.
UGAGGAAUAUUGGUCAAUGGGCGGGAGCCUGAACCAGCCAAGUCGCGUGAGGGAAGACGGUCUUACGGAUUGUAAACCUCUUUUGCCGGGGAGCAAAGGGCGCCACGCGUGGCGUUUCGAGAGUACCCGGAGAAAAGCAUCGGCUAACUCCGUGCCAGCAGCCGCGGUAAUACGGAGGAUGCGAGCGUUAUCCGGAUUUAUUGGGUUUAAAGGGUGCGUAGGCGGGCCGGUAAGUCAGCGGUAAAAUAGCGGGGCUCAACCCCGUCGAGCCGUUGAAACUGCCGGUCUUGAGUGGGCGAGAAGUGCGCGGAAUGCGUGGUGUAGCGGUGAAAUGCAUAGAUAUCACGCAGAACCCCGAUUGCGAAGGUAGCGCACCGGCGCCCUACUGACGCUGAAGCACGAAAGCGUGGGGAUCGAACAGGAUUAGAUACC